Molecule: ribosomal RNA, 684 nt
Filed under: Pseudomonas sp.
Lineage: Bacteria; Pseudomonadati; Pseudomonadota; Gammaproteobacteria; Pseudomonadales; Pseudomonadaceae
Description: bacterial SSU rRNA
Rfam family: Bacterial small subunit ribosomal RNA
Source: RNAcentral
GCAGGCCUAACACAUGCAAGUCGAGCGGUAGAGAGAAGCUUGCUUCUCUUGAGAGCGGCGGACGGGUGAGUAAUGCCUAGGAAUCUGCCUGGUAGUGGGGGAUAACGUUCGGAAACGGACGCUAAUACCGCAUACGUCCUACGGGAGAAAGCAGGGGACCUUCGGGCCUUGCGCUAUCAGAUGAGCCUAGGUCGGAUUAGCUAGUUGGUGAGGUAAUGGCUCACCAAGGCGACGAUCCGUAACUGGUCUGAGAGGAUGAUCAGUCACACUGGAACUGAGACACGGUCCAGACUCCUACGGGAGGCAGCAGUGGGGAAUAUUGGACAAUGGGCGAAAGCCUGAUCCAGCCAUGCCGCGUGUGUGAAGAAGGUCUUCGGAUUGUAAAGCACUUUAAGUUGGGAGGAAGGGUUGUAGAUUAAUACUCUGCAAUUUUGACGUUACCGACAGAAUAAGCACCGGCUAACUCUGUGCCAGCAGCCGCGGUAAUACAGAGGGUGCAAGCGUUAAUCGGAAUUACUGGGCGUAAAGCGCGCGUAGGUGGUUUGUUAAGUUGGAUGUGAAAUCCCCGGGCUCAACCUGGGAACUGCAUUCAAAACUGACUGACUAGAGUAUGGUAGAGGGUGGUGGAAUUUCCUGUGUAGCGGUGAAAUGCGUAGAUAUAGGAAGGAACACCAGUGGCGAANG